Molecule: long non-coding RNA, 367 nt
Filed under: Vigna radiata
Lineage: Eukaryota; Viridiplantae; Streptophyta; Magnoliopsida; Fabales; Fabaceae
Description: long non-coding RNA (VRAD_LNC017488)
Source: RNAcentral
GGCUUAGGACUUAGACUCAAGAAAGGAUGAGAAAAUAUGCAAAGGAGGAGUCACGUUCACCGCUCAGCGCCAUUUCCAGCGCUAAGCGCCAACCUCGUGAAGGAUGCCACUGUUUGACGCUUGAGCAGGGACAUUGAGGGAAGAAAAGAAGAAUCGCCCACCACUGAGUGCCAGGAUUGACCGUUGAGCGUCCUGCGAUACCGAAGUCCACCGCUGAGCGGUGAAAUGAGCGUUGAGCGCCUAACUUAUGGGUCUGGGCCAAAAUUCUGUUACUUUUCUGUAUUAUAAAUAGACCCAGAACGCACCAGAGAGGUAUCUUUUGGCAGAGAGAGACGUCAGAGCACCUUCUACACUCCUUGGAGGCGGC